This 2554-nucleotide long non-coding RNA is filed under the name Mus musculus (house mouse). RNAcentral describes it as "RIKEN cDNA 2310002F09 gene (2310002F09Rik)". The record is from RNAcentral. Lineage: Eukaryota; Metazoa; Chordata; Mammalia; Rodentia; Muridae.
AAACAUUGAACGACUAUCCAGGUAACCAGAAGCCUUUGCCAUUUCUACAGUUUUGGAAGCUAUUUGUUCUGCACUUCCUGUUUAUUCAGGCUCUCGUUGGCCUGAGGAUAGAUUGAGGAAGUCCUGGGUAUCCUCCUGUUUCCACCUCUCCAGCCCUGGGAUUACAGAUGUACUACCAUGCCCUGCUUUUCAUAUGGGUUCUGGGGAUGGAACUCAGUAAGUACUCACAGAAGGAUUUGGGCGGCUACCUCCUACUUGCCCAAAUCCCCAGCUGUCACUCAUAGCUGCUGGUUCUGGCCCUGGAACCUUGGAGACACUGGCAUCAUGGCAAUUAAAUCCAUAAGGGCAACUGCCACAAUAAUAAUAAUGAUGACAGCUAGCACUUACUAAACACUCACUAUGUGCAAGGCGUUCUCUGGGCUUUCCAUGCAAUAAUAGUCCGACUAAUCCUCCCAGCAGCCUCUGAAAUCUAUGUUACUAUUUUUUUCCAAUUAAAAAAAUAAAUAUCUGCAUCCGGGUGUGGUGGCUUGCACCUGUAGUCCUGGCUAUGCUGGAGACCAAAACAGAUGGAUAACCAGAGCUCAGAAACUGGAAACCAGUCUGGAAAAACUAGCAGUGGAGACUCCUCCAACUCCAAACAAGAACAACAAAAAUGGUUUAAGUAUCGAUUUUAUUCAGAGUUAGCUGGUAGUUUCUUUCCUCUUUGUUGAUAGCACAGAACUCUUGUUUCUCUUCAUUCACAUUGUUUUAUCUUCAUUCCAUACCACCUUUAUCAUUGUGUAUCUUUCGCAACUACCCUUAUUAGUGUAUCUCUCGAAGUAUUGUUUUUAUUAGCCUUAACUACUUAUCUUCAUCACUGUGUAUGUUUUCCUACUAUUUUUUUUCUUUAAUUAAGAUGUGGGCUUGGCAUGUAGCUUAGUUGGUAGAAUGUUUGCCUGUCAUCCUGCUGGGAACAAGCAAAAUAAACGUAUUCUUAGGACUACUUACUACUUCAUUUUCAGACUCCAUUUAAUCAUCGGGAGGAGCUAAAUUCAAGGUCCCAGGACCUUGGGGAUCUGGGGACUUCCCAAUAGCUGAACACUUCUGUUAUAAACAGUUAACUGUCUGAGUUCAAACAUCUCAGGGACAGACAACUUCUUCUACCUGGCAGCAUCAAACAAGUUCAUGUUCCCAGGCCUAGGAAGGAACAACUAUCCCACUUCUCCAAGUGUUUUCUUAAUUGUCUGCUAAUGGGUAAAUACAGAAAUUGUGGUGAGAGAACGACAUAAGCUCCAUUUUAGGACCAGGCCUGACUUCAAAAAGAAAGUCAUCCGUUCUAGGAACUGACCAUAAAAUCCUCCUAAGUCAUCCAUUCCAAAAAAUGAUUGUGACUUCCUCCCCCCAAGUCAUCAGUCCCAAGAACUAGGUCAUAAAAUCCCCCAUCCAAAGAACAGCCUGGUGAAAUAUCUUAUCUCAGGAUGGGCCAUCUGCGCCGGGCAUCAUGGCUAAAUGUUCAUGAUACAGGAAUGCAGUCCAUCGAUCACCUGGACAUGAGCUAAUCAAAAAACCAACCCAUGUAACAUACCUGGCACCCAUCAAUAAAGAUUACCUAACCCUAGCUAAAAUUCUCCUAGCUCCCUAUAAAAAGCCCUGUGCACUCCUGUCUGAGGUCGUAGCCAUUUUUGUAAGUGGCCCAUCCUGCAUGCAAGCUUCUUGUUUUCGUGAAAUAAAAACACUCUUGCCAAUUUCACAUGGGAGUGGUGGUCUCCACGCAGUACUUUUGAGCUUAACAGUGGUUAUCUAAACCCAGGGGCAUACAUUGUAUAAAUACAUAAGCAAUUGGCUGUUAUGCCCUAAUUAAGUACAUGAAGCUGACCAGGUCCUUUGUCAUCUUGCCCCUCUAAUUUUGGUGUGAAACUUUGUUUCUGUCCACAUGUUCCCUCAUCAGCCUGUCUCUCACUGUACUUUGAAACCCUCGGUCAAAGUUCUUCCUCAGCCUCAUCUCCUUUAGACCUCAUCUUGCAGCAUUUCCAGAAGAAAGCCAGAAUUUGGUUGCCCUGAUAGGACAUCUGGCUCUCUUCCCUCUCUUCCCCAACUCUACUGGUUAUGCUUGGUAUGCCAGUCUGUCUGUGUUUGUCAAUUUAUGUCUGCAAUUUUAAUUGCUUGAUUGUUGCUCUUUGUUUCCUAUUCAGAAGAAAGAAUCAAACUUCAUCUGCUGGCCAUUCACCCAAUUGACUUAGUUUUAAUUCAUUUCAAGUAUUUUCAGGAAAAAAAAAGGAGGGGUGAAUUGGGACAACAAAAAUGGAUAAACUGACUCUGCUCAUGUAGCCCCUGCACAGGAAGCUAGUGAGCCCUGCUGGAGAAGCCCUGCCUCUGACUGGAUCAGUUGGGCUCAGCAGAUGACAAGGAUCUCCUCCCUUGAAAUUACAGCUGGAGGUAGUACGGAAAGUUUGUCUGUGUGUUUUAUAUGUUUAAAUGUAUGUGGCCAUUGCAUAUUUGUGUCUGACUGGUCUUCAAUAUAUAGAUUUACUAUGGUGUGUGUGUGUGUGUCUGUGUGUCUGUGUGUAAAAUCUCU